This 263-nucleotide ribosomal RNA is filed under the name uncultured bacterium. RNAcentral describes it as "partial 16S ribosomal RNA". It matches the Rfam family "Bacterial small subunit ribosomal RNA", at positions 524 to 786 of the family's 1533-position model. The record is from RNAcentral.
UACGUAGGUGGCGAGCGUUGUCCGGAAUUAUUGGGCGUAAAGAGCGCGUAGGUGGCUUGUCAGGUCCGAUGUGAAAACCUGGGGCUCAACUCCAGGCCUGCAUCGGAAACCGGCUUGCUAGAGUCUGGGAGAGGAGAGUGGAAUUCCUGGUGUAGCGGUGAAAUGCGUAGAUAUCAGGAGGAACACCGGUAGCGAAGGCGGCUCUCUGGAACAGUACUGACGCUGAGGCGCGAAAGCUAGGGUAGCGAACAGGAUUAGAUACC